GGGUGUCUAGCUCAAUUGGUAGAGCAGCGGUCUCCAAAGCCGCCGGUUGCAGGUUCGAGUCCUGCGGCGCUCGC
This 74-nucleotide transfer RNA is filed under the name Mycobacterium phage SirPhilip. Its description in RNAcentral is "tRNA-Trp". It matches the Rfam family "tRNA". From Rfam's summary of the family: Transfer RNA (tRNA) molecules are approximately 80 nucleotides in length. Their secondary structure includes four short double-helical elements and three loops (D, anti-codon, and T loops). The record is from RNAcentral. Lineage: Duplodnaviria; Heunggongvirae; Uroviricota; Caudoviricetes.